UUUACAUUCCUACCAUUUGUUGCCCGAAAUCUAAAGAAGCUGAUACUUCAGGUGGAAAAAGAGGGCUCCUUCCAAAGCAAAGAAAUUGGCGGAGUUUCACCAAGAUGUGAAAAAUACUACUGCUAAGUAACAUCCUCUGAUUAAUUUCUCUUAUUGUUUCUAACAUAAUUGCACGAGAAUAUUUUCUGAAAAUUUUCACGAAAACAUGAAAAAAAAAAAUCCUCUCAUUUAUGAUGUAUCAUUUUUAAGAGGAUUUCCUUGACUGGAACAACUCUUUCCAAUACCUUUCUUGAAUUUUGCUCUUAUUUUUGUUCCCGACUUGUGCAAAUGAAUUAACCCCACUUUUUGUCAUAUAGUACAGUUGCUAGUAGGACUUCAUGGCUUCGCAGGUUAGUGCGCUAUAACUUACUAGGUUAUAAUAGACCAUAAAUAAGCACGCUUGAAGGAGUUACUUUUGAGUUUGCUAUAAAAAUUGCUCCAGCAAGACAUACAUCCUUGCAUUUCAAGGGCAAAACAAAUAAUCAACUCAAAACCAUACUCUUCAUCGCAUCAACAACACAGGCCACAGAAUAAACGGCCACGCAUAUCCCAUCCCCUUCCCCCCUUACCAGAGACUACAGUUAGAAAUAACUGAAUAAAAGAUCCAAGCGCAUCAUCAAAUAUACUGACCCUAUUACUCAUCAUUUUGGCUUUCAUCUUUGACAAGCUUGAUCAUGUCAUCAAUUCGAAGAAUUGUUAUGGCUGCUUCAGUGGCAAACUGAAUUAUCUUCACUUUGCUCAUUGCGGGUUCAAUAACUCCAGCUUCUAAGUUGUUUCGAAUGGUGCCCUUUGAAAGGUCUAGUCCCAUGCUCGAUAAAUGUUUCUUAUCAGCCUUUGUUUGAGCAGUGUGGUGGUAAGCCCGUAGUUUUGCUACUAACUCAGUGGCAUCCUUAGCAGCAUUAACAGCAAGUACCUUUGGUAUGAUAAGUAAAGAUUCAGCAAACUCAGCAAUUGCCAACUGCUCUCUUGAUCCAAGAGUUGUAGCAAGAUACUCCAAAUACACAGACAAGGCAGCCUCAACUGCACCUCCACCUGCUACUACCGUAUUAGAUUCAAGGGUCCUUCUAACAACAGAUAAAGCAUCAUGCAGAGCUCUCUCCAUCUCAUCCAGCAUAUAGUCAUUUGCACCUCUAAGGAUUAGAGAAACCGCACUAGUAGAUUUUGUCCCCUUUAUCAUAAUCACAUCAUCAUCAGCAAUGCGUUCUUCCACAACUUCAUCAGCAUAUCCAACAAGCGAUUGAUCAAAUGUUUCCUCCCCUUCCAUAUCAGCAAAAGUUGAAACCUAGAGGCACACCGAAGCAGGCAUAUAGACAGUUAACAUGAUGACAUGAAUACUAGAAAGUAGUAGGAAGCAGUGGAUAACAAAAUACAGAAUGUAGUAAAAGUAACUGACCCGAUUCAAACAAAAAAGAAGGCAGAAAAUAUAGAAAAAGUUAUUCCCCUUCCAAAAGGAGACAUAAAAUUAUUAAUAAGGGCGAUGUAACAGUAAACACUAAUGAAAUAAUGCAAUAGGUGAAGCCUUUAUUUUGAAGUUCAAAUGAUACAGCAAUAUUUACAUCUAAAUCAAUUAGAUGCUAGGGGACAAGAACAUUGAAAGAUUAAGAUGUCCAAAUUUCACAUGGUGAAACCAAAGCUAAACUGCAUAUACUCAACAAGGAUGAGCAAUCCCUCCUUGAAACAGAUAACCAAUAUUGAUGAUUACAAUAAUCACUGCAGGGCUAGAAGAAUUACCAUGGUUGCACCAGUCGCCUUGGCAACGUGAUGCAUAUCCUCUUUCCGAACACGUCUCACAGCAAUAGCCCCAGCUUCCACAAAAUACUUGAGAGCCAUGUCAUCAAUUCCUUUUGUAGUUAAAACAACAUUAGCUCCAGCUUUCAAGAGUUUCUCAAUGCGUUCCUUUGUCAUAUCCGCUUCUCUUUGACGAAUUUUCUCAAGCUCCCUGGGAUCAGUAACUAAGACUUGUAUGCCCAAUUGCAUCUUUGUCUUCUGAAGAUUAAAGUCAAGGCAUGCAAUUCUUGCAGGUGCAACUCUUGUAGGCAUUCCUUGAGCAGCACGACCAGUAUUUAGAGCAUACCCAUUCAAUAGGUAGCUAUCUUUUGCACUUUUUCCAUGAGCUUUCAAAAUAUUGAUGCUCUUGAUCGGGUAUUUGACUUCCCCUCGUACAUUGGUCAUCUUUACUGCUUGUACAGCAUCUACAACCAGAUUCGCAAAAAAAUCGCUGUCACCAGCUAUCAACUUCGAGGACAUGCUUGUCUUAGCACAAUUUACAAGAGAAUCUUUUCCAAGUUUUUCAACCUUCACAGCCAAUUUUUCAUCAACAUAUUUACAUGCUUCCCUCAUAGCAAGUCUGUAUCCACUGAUUAUUGAUGUUGGGUGAAUCUUAUUCCUCACCAGAUCAUUUGCUCUCUUGAGCAACUCUGCAGCAACAAUAACAACUGAAGUUGUUCCAUCUCCUACUUCUCGGUCUUGAAGCUCUGCCAACUCGACAAGCACCUUGGCAGCUGGAUGCUCCACUUCCAACAUCUUGAGAAUAGUGGCACCAUCAUUGGUAAUGGUUACAUCCCCAAUAUCAUCUACUAGCAUCUUGUCGAGACCAACAGGACCAAGCGAAGAUUUGACGAUGUUGGCUACAGCUUGACACGCCACCACAUUUUGAGUACGAACGUCCUGGCCGGAUUGUCGUUCACCUAGAAUGUCAAGAGUUUGUGCCGCGAUUGCCAUUUCUGCUUCGCGCGUCGGAAACGUCAAACCCUAGGUCGGAUCUGCGAGUACUGGUGGAGAAGGGGCGUUUGUUUUCUGGAAGUUCAGAGGAAAUGAUGAACUGCAACCCCCAGAUUAUGAAAAAUAGGACGUGUCUCGAAUUUUCAGAUGGAAGAAGACGCCUCAGCUUAGCAGGAAGGGUGGGGAAUGCCAGAUGAUGUCGUUUUGUUGUGUUUGCAUUAAAC
This 2984-nucleotide unclassified non-coding RNA is filed under the name Hevea brasiliensis (rubber tree). Lineage: Eukaryota; Viridiplantae; Streptophyta; Magnoliopsida; Malpighiales; Euphorbiaceae. The record is from RNAcentral.